RNAcentral lists this transfer RNA (76 nucleotides) under Marmota monax (woodchuck). It matches the Rfam family "tRNA". Rfam says of the family: Transfer RNA (tRNA) molecules are approximately 80 nucleotides in length. Their secondary structure includes four short double-helical elements and three loops (D, anti-codon, and T loops). Lineage: Eukaryota; Metazoa; Chordata; Mammalia; Rodentia; Sciuridae. The record is from Rfam by way of RNAcentral.
UGGGUUGUAGCUCAGUGGUAGAGUGCUCACCUUGCAUGUGAGAGGCGCUGGCUGGGUUGGAUCCUCAGCACCGCAU